CGCUUUCUGUCCCGAACUAACUCUAUCUGACUUUUGUAUGUUAGCUCUCUGUUGGGUUGCAUCAGCUCUUGAGAGUGUCACUAGUACAUACUUUCUGAAAUUGGACUUCUGAAUUGUUUGGCUAGUUGUGCAGUUCAUCGUACCUUAGAGUUAUUCCAUGGCUAUCGAGCGUCGCUCCCACAAGAAGAUUGUUAGCCUAUUUUCCCCGUGUCGGCUCCCACGGUUUAGUUAUCUUGUCCUCGUUGCUAUAAAUGGUUUCUCUGCAUGCU
Molecule: long non-coding RNA, 269 nt
Filed under: Musa acuminata (dwarf banana)
Lineage: Eukaryota; Viridiplantae; Streptophyta; Magnoliopsida; Zingiberales; Musaceae
Description: long non-coding RNA (MACU_LNC009663)
Source: RNAcentral